CAAUAGCGUAUAUUUAAGUUGUUGCAGUUAAAAAGCUCGUAGUUGGAUUUCGGGUGGGACGCAGCGGUCUCGCAUUGCGUUUGUACUGCUGCAGCCCUCCUUCUUGCCGGGGGCGGCCUCUCGGACUUCACUGUCUGGGGGUCAGAAUCGGCGAUGUUACUUUGAGUAAAUUAGAGUGUUCAAAGCAAGCUUACGCUCUGAAUAUAAUAGCAUGGGAUAACACGACAGGACUCUGGCCUAUCGUGUUGGUCUAUAGGACCAGAGUAAUGAUUAAGAGGGACAGUCGGGGGCAUUCGUAUUCCGUUGUCAGAGGUGAAAUUCUUGGAUUUACGGAAGACGAACAUCUGCGAAAGCAUUUGCCAAGGAUGUUUNCAUUA
Molecule: ribosomal RNA, 377 nt
Filed under: uncultured eukaryote
Lineage: Eukaryota
Description: partial 18S ribosomal RNA
Rfam family: Eukaryotic small subunit ribosomal RNA
Source: RNAcentral